CCAAGGAGUCUAACAUGUGCGCAAGUCAUGGGGUUGUACGAAACCUAAAGGCGCAAUGAAAGUGAAGGCAGCCUCGGGUUUGCCUAGGUAGGAUCCUUCUCAUUUAGAGGGGGCGCACUACCGGCCCGUCUCGUCUGCAUUGCAGUGAGGCGGAGCAAGAGCGUACACGUUGGGACCCGAAAGAUGGUGAACUAUGCCUGAGUAGGACGAAGCCAGAGGAAACUCUGGUGGAAGUCCGUAGCGAUUCUGACGUGCAAAUCGAUCGUCAAACUUGGGUAUAGGGGCGAAAGACUAAUCGAACCAUCUA
This 307-nucleotide ribosomal RNA is filed under the name Leptochiton hakodatensis. RNAcentral's name for it is "eukaryotic LSU rRNA". It matches the Rfam family "Eukaryotic large subunit ribosomal RNA", at positions 666 to 946 of the family's 3401-position model. Lineage: Eukaryota; Metazoa; Mollusca; Polyplacophora; Lepidopleurida; Lepidopleuridae. The record is from RNAcentral.